This 519-nucleotide long non-coding RNA is filed under the name Monodelphis domestica (gray short-tailed opossum). RNAcentral describes it as "lncRNA (ENSMODG00000033376.2)". The record is from RNAcentral. Lineage: Eukaryota; Metazoa; Chordata; Mammalia; Didelphimorphia; Didelphidae.
UGAAGUACAAGAAAUAUGGAGUAUAUGUUUGACUGGAAAGUGAAUCUGAAAGGAAUACUCUUUUGUAGGGAUGGAUUAAGGCACCUUCACUAGGACGAUGUCUUAGAAUAUUCUUAAAGCAUGAAAUAAGUGACGUUUGUCAUCUUCAGCUGACCUAAGUAAUGAAUGAGUGGGAAGAUCCUGAUCAAUCUCAUCUGCUGCGUCUGAAAACUAUUUGACUUAACCCUAAAGUGCCCGGCAUGACACUCCCUCAUGGGUUUCAGAAAAAGAAAAAAAAACCCUUCAGAAUCAUCCUAGUCCCCUCACUAUCAACCCCAGUAUUAUUAUUCUAGAAUGCAAAGUUUAAAUUCUUUUGAGAGAAAUUUCAGGAUAAGAAACAUACAACCACUAUGAAUCUGGAAAGUGAACUGUUUGGAGAGGGAGCCAUGAAAGUGCCUGCACAGAUCACAAACUGAAUCAGAAGAUCCAGAGUGGACUUUGGAAUGUGGUGAUUUGAACAGUGUAGUGUUGAAUGCAUUU